Molecule: ribosomal RNA, 445 nt
Filed under: uncultured bacterium
Lineage: Bacteria
Description: partial 16S ribosomal RNA
Rfam family: Bacterial small subunit ribosomal RNA
Source: RNAcentral
GUGAGGAAUAUUGGACAAUGGGCGCAAGCCUGAUCCAGCCAUGCCGCGUGCAGGAAGACGCAUCUAUGGUGUGUAAACUGCUUUUGUACGGGAAGAAACACUCCCUCGUGAGGGAGCUUGACGGUACCGUAAGAAUAAGGAUCGGCUAACUCCGUGCCAGCAGCCGCGGUAAUACGGAGGAUCCAAGCGUUAUCCGGAAUCAGUGGGUUUAAAGGGUCCGUAGGCGGUUUAAUAAGUCAGUGGUGAAAGCCCAUCGCUCAACGAUGGAACGGCCAUUGAUACUGUUAGACUUGAAUUACAAGGAAGUAACUAGAAUAUGUAGUGUAGCGGUGAAAUGCUUAGAUAUUACAUGGAAUACCAAUUGCGAAGGCAGGUUACUACUUGUGGAUUGACGCUGAUGGACGAAAGCGUGGGGAGCGAACAGGAUUAGAAACCCUGGUAGUCC